This 253-nucleotide ribosomal RNA is filed under the name uncultured bacterium. Its description in RNAcentral is "partial 16S ribosomal RNA". It matches the Rfam family "Bacterial small subunit ribosomal RNA", at positions 524 to 776 of the family's 1533-position model. The record is from RNAcentral.
GACGUAGGGCGCGAGCGUUGUCCGGAUUUAUUGGGCGUAAAGAGCUCGUAGGCGGCCAGGUAGGUCUGCUGUGAAAACUCGAGGCUUAACCUCGAGCUGUCGGCGGAAACCAUCUGGCUAGAGUCCGGAAGAGGAGAAUGGAAUUCCCGGUGUAGCGGUGAAAUGCGCAGAUAUCGGGAAGAACACCCGUGGCGAAGGCGGUUCUCUGGGACGGUACUGACGCUGAGACGCGAAAGCGUGGGGAGCGAACAGG